This 279-nucleotide ribosomal RNA is filed under the name uncultured bacterium. Its description in RNAcentral is "partial 16S ribosomal RNA". It matches the Rfam family "Bacterial small subunit ribosomal RNA", at positions 506 to 784 of the family's 1533-position model. The record is from RNAcentral.
UGCCAGCCGCCGCGGUAAUACGUAGGGGGCAAGCGUUGUCCGGAUUUACUGGGUGUAAAGGGCGCGCAGGCGGAUUUGUCAGUCAGGGGUGAAAUCCUACAGCUUAACUGUAGAACUGCCUUUGAUACUGCAAAUCUUGAGUUCGGAAGGGAGAGGCGGAAUUCCAGGUGUAGUGGUGAAAUUCGUAGAUAUUGGGAAGAACACCAGUGGCGAAGGCGGCUAACUGGCUCGGUACUGACGCUGAGAUGCGAAAGCGUGGGGAGCAAACAGGAUUAGAUA